ACUCUUUUUCAAAACAGCGCGGUAAACAAGAUGAUGUCGCAGCUCAUCUCUUCUCCUGCUUUUCCUCCGUUGUUACAAAGGACACGAUUCAAUGAAUCAUUCAAUCGAUGUACUUGUAUUUCUGAGACAGUAAACAACGCUAUAUUAGGGAGGUCAGAGAUGAUUAUCCUUGAGGGUCGUGUGAUUUGUGAGGCCGUAUACCCCAGAUUUCGGACUGCAAGAUUUCUACUGUUCGCAAUGUACUACGUCUUAAAUCUUCAGUAUCCAGAGGCAUGUGGCACAUUGGAUUUUAUUUAGAGACAAUUUGUCGGAUAAACCCUGAAAAAGGCUCGAAGACCAGCAAAGUCAAGGUCGUUAAGAAGACUGGAAAGAAUGUGAAUAAGAAGACUGCUACUGUCAACGCAGAAGUUGCAUCCCUCCUAAAGAACCUCAUCCGUUUCGAAUGGGAUUUUGUCUAGACCUGGAUUUCCUCUCAGGCCAGAGUGAUCAGAAGCUGGAGUAAGACACUUAAAUUUUUUUCCAACAAUUAGUUUGAUUAAUGUGUUCUUCAUUUCAUGCCAGGUUUUUAAAAUAUGUUGUGCCGUGCUGGCAGUUUUUUCUUCUUGUUGUAAGUUUGUUUUUAGCUCCUUGAGUUGCACUUUUUUUCUGUGAUUUCUGUUUUUAACUCUUUCCCGCCAUUGACGAGUUUUUAUAGCAAUCCGUAUUUCCGUUAUUAUGUUGCUCUUACCCAACUUAUACAACCUGGAAACAACCCCUCAGGUCAAACAAUUCAAACUCUGUGUAUGUUUUGAUUAUUGCUCUGGAUUUCUAUUAGAAGUCUUUCACAAAAUCGCCGUUAUCUCAGCUUUUUGCUCAAAAUAUGGUCUUUUUUAAGAAACCUACUCAUAUUUGAGAGGUGGUAAAAAAGAACUAAUUUUAAGGUAGGAUGAAUUUUUUUUAUUGUUGUUUGAAAGCAGAGGGGUUUGUUAUUUUAUUUGAUUCGAUUUGAUAUAUUGAAGGUUUAUAUAGUUAAAGAAGAAUGUUUUCUUGAAGGCAUUAAACUUUUGUAAAAAUCAUUAAAAACGCUGGCAUGGGCUGUCAACUUUUUUUAAAACACUGGCGGGGAAAGAGUUAACAUAAUGUUAAAUUUACUGUAACUGUUACUCCGUAGCUCCUUCAAUUGCACUUUAUUUUUGUGAUGUGGUCUUACUUUACUCUGUGGUUGCUUUUUAAUGGCACCUUUUCUCUGUGAUAGUGCAUUUAUUGUUAAACAUACUUGUAGAUGUUUACAGUGCUAAAAGAUUGUUUAAAGAUUGUAAUAACAGUUGUAUUAAUAAAUGGAAAAUGGAGCACUA
Long non-coding RNA from Paramisgurnus dabryanus, 1334 nucleotides. RefSeq lists it as uncharacterized. NCBI's taxonomy places the organism in Eukaryota, Metazoa, Chordata, Actinopteri, Cypriniformes, Cobitidae. The record is from RefSeq and is a predicted model, not a curated record.